RNAcentral lists this long non-coding RNA (326 nucleotides) under Prunus persica (peach). RNAcentral describes it as "long non-coding RNA (PPER_LNC008050)". The record is from RNAcentral. Lineage: Eukaryota; Viridiplantae; Streptophyta; Magnoliopsida; Rosales; Rosaceae.
UUCUUGCCACGUUUAAAAGUCUGACACAACACGAACGCGACACGACACAACUCAUUGUCAGCUAGGGGUGGGCACUCAAACCGGCAAACCAGAAAUUCGAGCCGAACCGCACCGAACCAAACUGAAAAAAAAUCGAGUUGACCAAAAAGUCAAAAACAGGUCAAAAAUCGAACCGGACUAGUUUGGACCGGUUUUGGAUUCGGUUCUAUGUCUUCAAAAGCCAGACUGGGCCAAACCGAACCGAUCAAAUUAAAUUUUUUUUUUGUUGUAAUAUAUAUUUAUAUUUAAUGCUAUAUUUUUAAUUUCACAAAAAAAAACUAAUAUUU